UAUUGCACAAUGGGGGAAACCCUGAUGCAGCGACGCCGCGUGAAGGAAGAAGUAUUUCGGUAUGUAAACUUCUAUCAGCAGGGAAGAAAAUGACGGUACCUGACUAAGAAGCCCGGGCUAAUUACGUGCCAGCAGCCGCGGUAAUACGUAAGGGGCAAGCGUUAUCCGGAUUUACUGGGUGUACAGGGAGCGUAGACGGCAGUGCAAGUCUGAUGUGAAAGCCCGGGGCUCAACCCCGGGACUGCAUUGGAAACUGUGCAGCUAGAGUGUCGGAGAGAUAAGUGGAAUUCCUAGUGUAGCGGUGAAAUGCGUAGAUAUUAGGAGGAACACCAGUAGCGAAAGCGGCUUACUGGACGAUAACUGACGUUGAGGCUCGAAAGCGUGGGGAGCAAACAGG
This 397-nucleotide ribosomal RNA is filed under the name uncultured bacterium. RNAcentral describes it as "bacterial SSU rRNA". It matches the Rfam family "Bacterial small subunit ribosomal RNA", at positions 362 to 776 of the family's 1533-position model. The record is from RNAcentral.